Molecule: ribosomal RNA, 237 nt
Filed under: uncultured bacterium
Lineage: Bacteria
Description: partial 16S ribosomal RNA
Rfam family: Bacterial small subunit ribosomal RNA
Source: RNAcentral
GAUAUGGCUCAGGACGAACGCUGGCGGCGUGCUUAACACAUGCAAGUCGAACGAGAAUCUACUGAAAGAGUUUUCGGGCAAUGGAUGUAGAGGAAAGUGGCGGACGGGUGAGUAACGCGUGAGGAACCUGCCUUGAAGAGGGGGACAACAGUUGGAAACGACUGCUAAUACCGCAUGACGCAUAGGGGUCGCAUGAUCUUUAUGCCAAAGAUUUAUCGCUUCAAGAUGGCCUCGCGU